CAGCGCCGCGGUAAGACAGAGGAUGCAAGCGUUAUCCGGAAUGAUUGGGCGUAAAGGGCUCGCAGGCGGUUUCUUAAGUCUGAUGUGAAAGCCCCCGGCUCAACCGGGGAGGGUCAUUGGAAACUGGGAAACUUGAGUGCAGAAGAGGAGAGUGGAAUUCCACGUGUAGCGGUGAAAUGCGUAGAGAUGUGGAGGAACACCAGUGGCGAAGGCGACUCUCUGGUCUGUAACUGACGCUGAGGAGCGAAAGCGUGGGGAGCGAACAGGAUUAGAUACCCCAGUAGUCCCUGUCUCUUAUCCA
RNAcentral lists this ribosomal RNA (301 nucleotides) under uncultured bacterium. RNAcentral's name for it is "partial 16S ribosomal RNA". It matches the Rfam family "Bacterial small subunit ribosomal RNA", at positions 509 to 809 of the family's 1533-position model. The record is from RNAcentral.